This 29-nucleotide non-coding RNA is filed under the name Rattus norvegicus (Norway rat). Lineage: Eukaryota; Metazoa; Chordata; Mammalia; Rodentia; Muridae. The record is from RNAcentral.
UGAUCAGAAGGUCCAGGAUGGCCCACUGC